GCCGGCUUAGCUCAGCUGGUAGAGCAACGCACUUGUAAUGCGUAGGUCUUCGGUCCGAAUCCGGAAGCCGGCACCA
Molecule: transfer RNA, 76 nt
Filed under: Bacilli bacterium
Lineage: Bacteria; Bacillati; Bacillota; Bacilli
Also listed under: 1 other name
Description: tRNA-Thr
Rfam family: tRNA
About the family: Transfer RNA (tRNA) molecules are approximately 80 nucleotides in length.
Source: RNAcentral